GACGACCGAAAGCCGCGAUACUCGCUUCGCACAGAUGCUUCCACAUCUCUCUCGCGAGUGGGCUAAGGUCUGAGUUUGCUGCUCCCAACCCCUAGGAUCAUGCCUCCGAUCGACUCCAGCUGGGUCUGCCGUAAUCCGGCCAAGCAACGCACCAGAAAUACAGCCAGCCGGGGACGAUCGAUUGUUCUUCGCACCCGAAGACGUGUAUGCAGUAUUGCAAUAUGGGUCAUGAACGCAUCCUGCAUACUUCGCACUGAGGGAGACCCGGCUGUAGCUUUGGGACACGUUGCGGGAACUUGGGCCCGUGUUCAACCGAUGCGUCUUUCAUCCCCUUUCCUAUCGUGCAAACGGUGGUGCUUUCGGUGUGUGCGCCGGAUGGUUUUAGCCCCCCAGCAUUUCAUCCGAAUGACGUCCACGGUUCCAUCCCCCCAUUUGAUGAGGUCGCUUUCGUCCUAUGGUGGGGUACACUUGACCUGCAGACGAGGGAAUGCGGCGAAGCGCAAGGUUCACGGGUCCUUUAGUGCACUUCGUGGCGCUCGGGUGUCUAUUCAUCCGUGCAACUCGAUUCAGACUACUCUCAGUCGUC
This 586-nucleotide RNase P RNA is filed under the name Punctularia strigosozonata HHB-11173 SS5. RNAcentral's name for it is "Nuclear RNase P". It matches the Rfam family "Nuclear RNase P". Rfam says of the family: Ribonuclease P (RNase P) is a ubiquitous endoribonuclease, found in archaea, bacteria and eukarya as well as chloroplasts and mitochondria. The record is from Rfam by way of RNAcentral. Lineage: Eukaryota; Fungi; Basidiomycota; Agaricomycetes; Corticiales; Punctulariaceae.